CACGUAGGGUGCGAGCGUUGUCCGGAAUUACUGGGCGUAAAGCGCAUGUAGGCGGCAGCGCAAGUCGGGCGUGAAAUCCCACGGCUCAACCGUGGAAGUGCACUCGAAACUGCGCAGCUAGAGUCCUGGAGAGGAAGGUGGAAUGCUUGGUGUAGAGGUGAAAUUCGUAGAUAUCAAGCGGAACACCGGUGGCGAAGGCGGCCUUCUGGACAGUGACUGACGCUGAGAUGCGAAAGCGUGGGGAGCAAACAGG
RNAcentral lists this ribosomal RNA (253 nucleotides) under uncultured bacterium. RNAcentral's name for it is "partial 16S ribosomal RNA". It matches the Rfam family "Bacterial small subunit ribosomal RNA", at positions 524 to 776 of the family's 1533-position model. The record is from RNAcentral.